Molecule: ribosomal RNA, 441 nt
Filed under: uncultured bacterium
Lineage: Bacteria
Description: partial 16S ribosomal RNA
Rfam family: Bacterial small subunit ribosomal RNA
Source: RNAcentral
CCUACGGGAGGCAGCAGUGGGGGAUAUUGCACAAUGGGGGGAACCCUGAUGCAGCGACGCCGCGUGGGUGAAGGAGCGUUUCGGCGCGUAAAGCCCUAUCGGCAGGGAAGAAGGAGGACGGUACCUGACUAAGAAGCCCCGGCUAACUACGUGCCAGCAGCCGCGGUAAUACGUAGGGGGCAAGCGUUAUCCGGAUUUACUGGGUGUAACGGGGGCGCAGACGGCAGCGCAAGCCAGGAGUGAAAGCCCGGGGCCCAACCCCGGGACUGCUCUUGGAACUGCGCGGCUGGAGUGCAGGAGGGGCAGGCGGAAUUCCUGGUGUAGCGGUGAAAUGCGUAGAUAUCAGGAGGAACACCGGUGGCGAAGGCGGCCUACUGGACUGUAACUGACGUUGAGGCUCGAAAGCGUGGGGAGCAAACAGGAUUAGAUACCCCAGUAGUC